AACGCUAGCUACAGGCUUAACACAUGCAAGUCGAGGGGAAACGAUAUUGGAAGCUUGCUUCCGAUAGGCGUCGACCGGCGCACGGGUGAGUAACGCGUAUCCAACCUGCCCAUCACUUGGGAAUAACCUUGCGAAAGUAAGACUAAUGCCCAAUGACAUUUAUAGAAGGCAUCGGAAAUGAAUUAAAGAUUUAUCGGUGAUGGAUGGGGAUGCGUCUGAUUAGCUUGUUGGCGGGGUAACGGCCCACCAAGGCGACGAUCAGUAGGGGUUCUGAGAGGAAGGUCCCCCACAUUGGAACUGAGACACGGUCCAAACUCCUACGGGAGGCUGCAGUGAGGAAUAUUGGUCAAUGGGCGAGAGCCUGAACCAGCCAAGUAGCGUGCAGGAAGACGGCCCUAUGGGUUGUAAACUGCUUUUAUAGGGGAAUAAAGUGAGCCACGUGUGGUUUUUUGCAUGUACCCUAUGAAUAAGGACCGGCUAAUUCCGUGCCAGCAGCCGCGGUAAUACGGAAGGUCCGGGCGUUAUCCGGAUUUAUUGGGUUUAAAGGGAGCGUAGGCCGGAGAUUAAGCGUGUUGUGAAAUGUAGACGCUCAACGUCUGCACUGCAGCGCGAACUGGUUUCCUUGAGUACGCAUAAAGUGGGCGGAAUUCGUGGUGUAGCGGUGAAAUGCUUAGAUAUCACGAAGAACUCCGAUUG
RNAcentral lists this ribosomal RNA (696 nucleotides) under uncultured bacterium. RNAcentral's name for it is "bacterial SSU rRNA". It matches the Rfam family "Bacterial small subunit ribosomal RNA", at positions 32 to 715 of the family's 1533-position model. The record is from RNAcentral.